CCUCGCCUCACUUGAGUCAGUCUCACUCCGCCUCAAACCUAAAGCGAAAGGAUUCGCUCAGCCUCACUUGAUCUCUGCUCAGCUGCUCUCUCAUCUCAAGACUCACGCCUCUCUGAGUCGCUUGGCUCGCAGCCAUCAACCACGGUUCACCAGUCCACCGCACCACGGCCGACACCACUUCUCUACCAUCCUAACUCCUAAGUCCCAUUUUAAUUCAAUUUCUAUGUCCUGGGUUUCUCUGAUCUGUCGAGUUCUCUGGCAUUAGCCGAGUCCAUGGCUUCACCUGGGCUACUCACUACUCUGUAGAAGAUCCACUCUUCCUCCUCUAUUGGUAUGGAAUCUAGGCCUUGAAGAGCAGAGGAGCGGGAGAGAAAGGUUUCAGUUUGGAGUAGUUCUCUUUGGAUGCAGACUUGUGAUUCAUGCCUUUGCCUCAAUUGGAUUUAAUUAGAGGGUGAGUUGAGGUCAUUAUUAAUUAACUUCAGUUGUUUGAGAGUAAAAUCCUGGUGUUAAUUUUGGUGGGUUGUUGGUGAAGAGCUGUAGUUGAAGAAAUGGAAGACAAAGGUUGAAGUUUGGCGUGGUUUGUAUUUGGGUAUAGAUAUUAUCAUAUGCUUAAUUAAUUUGAAAAUUUGAUAAAUCAAUAUGGUAGCCAAGAUGAAUUCCCAGAAGAACAAAAGUUCAAUUAUGGAGUGCAAAUGCAAGUUGAUAAUCCCAUUCCGUUUCUGUUUAAUCUUGUUGGAUUAAUAUAAGUUACAACCUUAUAAUUCUUGUUUGUAAUUGCUAUGUUCACAGGUUUUUUUCAUUAGUGCCAUCUUGUUCCAAUAAGCAAACCUUUAAUUGGAACCAGUUUCAUGAUUAAUAAUGAAGUUGGUUACA
Molecule: long non-coding RNA, 873 nt
Organism: Argentina anserina (silverweed cinquefoil)
Lineage: Eukaryota; Viridiplantae; Streptophyta; Magnoliopsida; Rosales; Rosaceae
Exons: 3
Source: RefSeq, a predicted model, not a curated record